Molecule: ribosomal RNA, 429 nt
Filed under: Chloroflexota bacterium
Lineage: Bacteria; Bacillati; Chloroflexota
Description: Chloroflexi bacterium partial 16S ribosomal RNA
Rfam family: Bacterial small subunit ribosomal RNA
Source: RNAcentral
UAGGGAGUCUUCGGCAAUGGACGAAAGUCUGACCGAGCAACGCCGCGUGAGUGAAGAAGGUUUUCGGAUCGUAAAACUCUGUUGUUAGAGAAGAACAAGGACGUUAGUAACUGAACGUCCCCUGACGGUAUCUAACCAGAAAGCUACGGCUAACUACGUGCCAGCAGCCGCGGUAAUACGUAGGUGGCAAGCGUUGUCCGGAUUUAUUGGGCGUAAAGCGAGCGCAGGCGGUUUCUUAAGUCUGAUGUGAAAGCCCCCGGCUCAACCGGGGAGGGUCAUUGGAAACUGGGGGACUUGAGUGCAGAAGAGGAGAGUGGAAUUCCAUGUGUAGCGGUGAAAUGCGUAGAUAUAUGGAGGAACACCAGUGGCGAAGGCGGCUCUCUGGUCUGUAACUGACGCUGAGGCUCGAAAGCGUGGGGAGCAAACAGG